GUCCGGGUGGCGGAAUGGUAGACGCGCUAGCUUGAGGUGUUAGUCCUUUCGAGGGUAGGGGUUCAAGUCCCCUCUCGGACA
This 81-nucleotide transfer RNA is filed under the name Actinomycetes bacterium. RNAcentral's name for it is "tRNA-Leu". It matches the Rfam family "tRNA". Rfam says of the family: Transfer RNA (tRNA) molecules are approximately 80 nucleotides in length. Their secondary structure includes four short double-helical elements and three loops (D, anti-codon, and T loops). RNAcentral also lists the same sequence under 1 other name. Lineage: Bacteria; Bacillati; Actinomycetota; Actinomycetes. The record is from RNAcentral.